GCGAGGCCGAAAGGCGUAGUCGAUGGGAAACAGGUUAAUAUUCCUGUACUUGGUGUUACUGCGAAGGGGGGACGGAGAAGGCUAUGUUAGCCGGGCGACGGUUGUCCCGGUUUAAGCAUGUAGGCUGGUUAUCCAGGCAAAUCCGGAUAAUCAAGGCUGAGGUGUGAUGACGAGGCACUACGGUGCUGAAGUAACAAAUGCCCUGCUUCCAGGAAAAGCCUCUAAGCAUCAGGUAACAUCAAAUCGUACCCCAAACCGACACAGGUGGUCAGGUAGAGAAUACCAAGGCGCUUGAGAGAACUCGGGUGAAGGAACUAGGCAAAAUGGUGCCGUAACUUCGGGAGAAGGCACGCUGGUGUGUAGGUGAAGUCCCUGCG
RNAcentral lists this ribosomal RNA (377 nucleotides) under Klebsiella pneumoniae. Its description in RNAcentral is "partial 23S ribosomal RNA". It matches the Rfam family "Bacterial large subunit ribosomal RNA", at positions 1396 to 1772 of the family's 2925-position model. The record is from RNAcentral. Lineage: Bacteria; Pseudomonadati; Pseudomonadota; Gammaproteobacteria; Enterobacterales; Enterobacteriaceae.